RNAcentral lists this ribosomal RNA (547 nucleotides) under uncultured bacterium. RNAcentral's name for it is "bacterial SSU rRNA". It matches the Rfam family "Bacterial small subunit ribosomal RNA", at positions 355 to 896 of the family's 1533-position model. The record is from RNAcentral.
UGGGGAAUAUUGCGCAAUGGGGGGAACCCUGACGCAGCCAUGCCGCGUGAAUGAAGAAGGCCUUAGGGUUGUAAAGUUCUUUCGGUAUUGAGGAAGGUUGAUGUGUUAAUAGCACAUCAAAUUGACGUUAAAUACAGAAGAAGCACCGGCUAACUCCGUGCCAGCAGCCGCGGUAAUACGGAGGGUGCGAGCGUUAAUCGGAAUAACUGGGCGUAAAGGGCACGCAGGCGGUUAUUUAAGUGAGGUGUGAAAGCCCUGGGCUUAACCUAGGAAUUGCAUUUCAGACUGGGUAACUAGAGUACUUUAGGGAGGGGUAGAAUUCCACGUGUAGCGGUGAAAUGCGUAGAGAUGUGGAGGAAUACCGAAGGCGAAGGCAGCCCCUUGGGAAUGUACUGACGCUCAUGUGCGAAAGCGUGGGGAGCAAACAGGAUUAGAUACCCUGGUAGUCCACGCUGUAAACGCUGUCGAUUUGGGGAUUGGGCUUAGAGCUUGGUGCCCGUAGCUAACGUGAUAAAUCGACCGCCUGGGGAGUACGGCCGCAAGGUUA